This is a ribosomal RNA of 125 nucleotides. It matches the Rfam family "Eukaryotic small subunit ribosomal RNA", at positions 1657 to 1779 of the family's 1831-position model.
CCUUUGUACACACCGCCCGUCGCUACUACCGAUUGAAUGAUCCAGUGAGGCUUUCGGACUGGCCCAGGAAGAGUGGCAACACUCAUCUAGGGCCGGAAAGUUGUCCAAACUUGGUCAUUUAGAGG